This 492-nucleotide ribosomal RNA is filed under the name uncultured Lachnospiraceae bacterium. RNAcentral describes it as "partial 16S ribosomal RNA". The record is from RNAcentral. Lineage: Bacteria; Bacillati; Bacillota; Clostridia; Lachnospirales; Lachnospiraceae.
CACGUAGUUAGCCGGGGCUUCUUGGUCAGGUACUGUCAUCUUCUUCCCUGCUGAUAGGGCUUUACAUACCGAAAUACUUCGUCACCCACGCGGCGUCGCUGCAUCAGGGUUUCCCCCAUUGUGCAAUAUUCCCCACUGCUGCCUCCCAUAGGAGUUUGGGCCGUGUCUCAGUCCCAAUGUGGCCGGUCACCCUCUCAGGUCGGCUACUGAUCGUCGGUUUGGUGGGCCGUUACCCCGCCAACUGCCUAAUCAGACGCGGGGCCAUCUCAUACCACCGGAGUUUUUCACACCCUGUGAUGCCACAGUGUGCGCUUAUGCGGCAUUAGCAGUCAUUUCUAACUGUUAUUCCCCUGUAUGAGGCAGGUUCCCCACGCGUUACUCACCCGUCCGCCGCUCAGUCAAAUGUCUCUCCAUCCGAAAACUUCAAGACAAGUGCUUCGCUCGACUUGCAUGUGUUAAGCACGCCGCCAGCGUUCAUCCUGAGCCAGGAUA